RNAcentral lists this ribosomal RNA (254 nucleotides) under uncultured bacterium. RNAcentral describes it as "partial 16S ribosomal RNA". It matches the Rfam family "Bacterial small subunit ribosomal RNA", at positions 524 to 776 of the family's 1533-position model. The record is from RNAcentral.
UACGUAGGGUGCGAGCGUUGUCCGGAAUUACUGGGCGUAAAGAGCUCGUAGGCGGUGUGUCACGUCGGCCGUGAAAACCUGCAGCUUAACUGUGGGCGUGCGGUCGAUACGGGCAUCACUGGAGUUCGGCAGGGGAGACUGGAAUUCCUGGUGUAGCGGUGAAAUGCGCAGAUAUCAGGAAGAACACCCGUGGCGAAGGCGGCUCUCUGGGACGGUACUGACGCUGAGACGCGAAAGCGUGGGGAGCGAACAGG